Molecule: non-coding RNA, 93 nt
Organism: Gossypium hirsutum (cotton)
Lineage: Eukaryota; Viridiplantae; Streptophyta; Magnoliopsida; Malvales; Malvaceae
Source: Rfam
GCCAAUGAUGAAACUAUUUGAGAUUUUUUGAAAUGCAGUUCUAUCUGUGCUGUAUGAAUUUGUAGAAACUCAUGAACUAGGACGGUCUGAGGC